This 123-nucleotide ribosomal RNA is filed under the name Neogobius melanostomus (round goby). The record is from RNAcentral. Lineage: Eukaryota; Metazoa; Chordata; Actinopteri; Gobiiformes; Gobiidae.
GCUUACGGGCCAUACCACCCUGAAGCAACGCCCGAUCUCGUCUGAUCUCGUAAGCUAAGCAGGGUCGGGCCUGGUUAGUACUUGGAUGGGAGACCAGCCUGGGAAUACCAGGUGCAGUAAGCU